GUUAGGAAUAUUGGACAAUGGGCGAAAGCCUGAUCCAGCCAUGCCGCGUGAACGAUGAAGGCCUUCGGGUUGUAAAGUUCUUUAGCCGAUGAUUAUAAUGACUGUAGUCGGAAAAUAAGCCCCGGCUAACUUCGUGCCAGCAGCCGCGGUAAUACGAAGGGGGCGAGCGGUAUUCGGAAUCACUGGGCGUAAAGCGUGCGUAGGCGGUUUUGUAAGUUAGGAGUGAAAGCCCAGGGCUCAACCUUGGAAUUGCUCUUAAAACUGCAAGGCUCGAAUCUCGGAGAGGAUAGCGGAAUUUCCAGUGUAGCAGUGAAAUGCGUAGAUAUUGGAAGGAACACCAGUGGCGUAAGCGGCUAUCUGGACGAGUAUUGACGCUGAGGCACGAAAGCGUGGGGAUCAAACAGGAUUAGAAACCCGAGUAGUCC
This 425-nucleotide ribosomal RNA is filed under the name uncultured bacterium. RNAcentral describes it as "partial 16S ribosomal RNA". It matches the Rfam family "Bacterial small subunit ribosomal RNA", at positions 354 to 796 of the family's 1533-position model. The record is from RNAcentral.